Molecule: non-coding RNA, 230 nt
Organism: Gasterosteus aculeatus aculeatus (three-spined stickleback)
Lineage: Eukaryota; Metazoa; Chordata; Actinopteri; Perciformes; Gasterosteidae
Source: RefSeq, a predicted model, not a curated record
AUAUUUACCUGCGACGUGACUCAGAUUGCAUUUUCUGUUGGUGACCGAAGUAAUGGGAGUGUUUUGGGCCUUGCUUGUUUCUGUGCUGACUGUCUGGUUUACCAAAGGCUCUGGUUUGCCGGUUGGUGGCAAGAAUGAAAUGAGUGGUAAUGGGCAGCAGAGGACAAUGAGCGAUCUAUCUCCUAAUGACUCCUCCAUGAAGAAGGCCCUUACACUUCAGGCCAAAACGG